RNAcentral lists this long non-coding RNA (1463 nucleotides) under Homo sapiens (human). RNAcentral describes it as "non-protein coding lnc-ADAMTS9-6:1". The record is from RNAcentral. Lineage: Eukaryota; Metazoa; Chordata; Mammalia; Primates; Hominidae.
UAUAUGCUGUCUACAGAAAACACACUUGAGAUUCAAAGAUACAAAUAGGAUGCAAGCAAAAGGAUGGAAAAAGAUAUCAUGCAAACAGCAACCAUAAGCAAGAUGGAGUGGCUAUAUUAAUAUCAUACAAGAGAUGUUAAAACAAGAACAAAGAAAGGGUGAGAUCACCCACAGAGAAGGUAGUGCUAGAGAAGAGCAGGUUUGGGGUGAAACUCUGGAUUCUCAAAUUUAAAGGUAGGAUGGAGAAGUAGGAUCUUGAAAAGGAGACCCCCAAACUACAUUUUCCCAGGCUAUGAUGUAAGCACACAAGUUAGGAUCCCCCAAAGUUCCUGUUCCUUGAGUUUCCAACCACUAUUGGUUUUGGUGAUGGGGCUGAGUUGAUACCCAAGGGUCUGCACGGUACCAUUUGAGAAACACUGAGAAAAUGCUCUCAUCCCAUCUCAUCACCACUCAUUCCAGAACAGGCUGUUCAUGUGGAACUCCUUCCCUGUGAAAAUCCUAAAGAGGUUAAGAUGCAUCUUCAAUGAGAAUAUUGGACAAUGUGAGUGUUUCUGAGAAGAGAGACAUGAGAAAUUAUUGUUAUUCCAUCAAUACUUCAUGUAUUCAUUCAUGCAGUUAUUCCCCCUCUCUUUGUGAGGGCUUAGGCAAUGACUGACACAAUGCUAUAGACCAAGGGGACCAGCAGUUAACAGGGCACACAUAGUUCUUUCCCUAUAUUGCUCCAUCUAAUGGAGAGACAGACACUGGACAAGCAAAUACAUCAAAGUGUGAUGAAUGUAAAGGAGGGACCAGGAAGGGCCCCAAAGGUCUGGGGGUUUGGCCUUGACUCUAAGCAACCUGGAUCAUCUCUCCCGGUGUGUGAGUCUACACCGUCAUGGAUGCUAUCAUACAUGCUGCCCCUAGUGAGGAUUUUAUCUGCUGUAGGGCACUGGAGCAUGCUGGUUACAGUUAUACAGUUGCCUUAUUUGAUCAAUCCCCGGAAAGUUUGUAGUUAUAUAAUCCUAAGUUUGUUUGCUGCUUCUUACUGGUUGAGCUUAAGUUCUAUUUUUCUCUAAUACAGGCAUUUUUAAAAAAUAGUUUGUAUGUUCUCAGUGGGAAAAGUAGUUCUGUUCCAUUGUAUUUAAGUAAGUGAAUGUGAAUAUAAUGGGUAUUUGGCAUGCUCAGGAAAUAUGGUAUUCUAGUUAAUCCAAUCUAAAGUUUCUGUACAUAUCACAGACCAAUGAAGAUAAGAAGGAAAUCUUUUGUGUUCCAAAACCCAUGAAGGAAGUCUUAAAGACUUCAGUAGACAAUAGUUAAAGGAGAGAAGGAGAAAAUAAACCUAUCUAAUGUGUAAACUUUCAGAUGACUCUGUGUCUAUUGGUAACAACAAAUUUUGGCCAUGACACCAGUCUCCAAGUUUUGCCACAGAGCUACAUUCUGUUUCUGACUCUAGGCUUUCUUGCAGCAGAAAUUGAGCCAUGAUU